CCUACGGGUGGCAGCAGUGAGGAAUAUUGGUCAAUGGGCGGGAGCCUGAACCAGCCAAGUCGCGUGAAGGAAGAAGGUACUUAGUAUUGUAAACUUCUUUUGUCGGGGAACAAAGGCGGAGACGCGUCUCCGGAUGAGUGUACCCGAAGAAAAAGCAUCGGCUAACUCCGUGCCAGCAGCCGCGGUAAUACGGAGGAUGCGAGCGUUAUCCGGAUUUAUUGGGUUUAAAGGGUGCGCAGGCGGGAGAUCAAGUCAGUUGUGAAAGUUUGCGGCUCAACCGUAAAAUUGCAAUUGAUACUGGCAGUCUUGAGUACAGUUGAGGUAGGCGGAAUUCGUGGUGUAGCGGUGAAAUGCUUAGAUAUCACGAAGAACUCCGAUUGCGAAGGCAGCUUACUAAACUGCCACUGACAUUGAUGCUCGAAAGUGUGGGUAUCAAACAGGAUUAGAUACCCUGGUAGUC
This 460-nucleotide ribosomal RNA is filed under the name uncultured bacterium. RNAcentral describes it as "partial 16S ribosomal RNA". It matches the Rfam family "Bacterial small subunit ribosomal RNA", at positions 338 to 795 of the family's 1533-position model. The record is from RNAcentral.